Molecule: ribosomal RNA, 468 nt
Filed under: uncultured bacterium
Lineage: Bacteria
Description: partial 16S ribosomal RNA
Rfam family: Bacterial small subunit ribosomal RNA
Source: RNAcentral
GACGAACGCUGGCGGCGUGCUUAACACAUGCAAGUCGAACGGAAAGGCACUGCUAUUGUGGGGUGCUCGAGUGGCGAACGGGUGAGUAACACGUGAGUAACCUGACCUUGUCUUUGGGAUAACUUCAGGAAACUGGGGCUAAUACCAGAUAGGAGACCCUGCUGCAUGGUGGGGAUUGGAAAGUUUCGGCGGUUGCGGAUGGACGCGCGGCUUAUCAGCUUGUUAGUGGGGUAGUGGUUUACCCAGGCUUUGACGGGUCGCCGGCCUGAGAGGGUGACCGGCCACAUUGGGACUGAGAGACGGCCCAGAGUGCUACGGUGGACAGUGGGGGGAAAUAUUGCACAAUGGGCCGAAGCCUGAGGCAGCAGCGUCGCGGGCGUGAUGACGUCCUUCGGGUUGUAAACCGCUUCCGGUUGUGACGAAGCGUUAGUGACGGUAAUGGGUAAAUAAGCACCGGCUAACUACGUG